GGAGAGUUGGCCGAGUGGCUUAAGGCGGGGGAUUACUAAUCCCUUGAACGUUUAUGGCGUUCCAUGGGUUCGAAUCCCAUACUCUCUUCCA
This 91-nucleotide transfer RNA is filed under the name bacterium. RNAcentral's name for it is "tRNA-Ser". It matches the Rfam family "tRNA". From Rfam's summary of the family: Transfer RNA (tRNA) molecules are approximately 80 nucleotides in length. The record is from RNAcentral. RNAcentral also lists the same sequence under 1 other name.